Molecule: ribosomal RNA, 231 nt
Filed under: uncultured bacterium
Lineage: Bacteria
Description: partial 16S ribosomal RNA
Rfam family: Bacterial small subunit ribosomal RNA
Source: RNAcentral
CGGGUGCGUAACGCGUAUGCAAUCUACCUUGUACAGAGGGAUAGCCCAGAGAAAUUUGGAUUAAUACCUCAUGGUAUUAUAGAAUGGCAUCAUUUUAUAAUUAAAGUUCCAACGGUACAAGAUGAGCAUGCGUCCUAUUAGCUAGUUGGUAUGGUAACGGCAUACCAAGGCAACGAUAGGUAGGGGUCCUGAGAGGGAGAUCCCCCACACUUGUACUGAGACACGGACCAG